This 67-nucleotide transfer RNA is filed under the name Planorbella pilsbryi. Its description in RNAcentral is "tRNA-Asp". It matches the Rfam family "tRNA". From Rfam's summary of the family: Transfer RNA (tRNA) molecules are approximately 80 nucleotides in length. Their secondary structure includes four short double-helical elements and three loops (D, anti-codon, and T loops). Lineage: Eukaryota; Metazoa; Mollusca; Gastropoda; Planorbidae. The record is from RNAcentral.
UUCUAUUUAGUUUAACAAAAUAUUUACUUGUCAAGUAAAUGAUGAAAUUUUUUAUUUCAAUAGAAAU